AAAAAAGAUUAAAUGAAUCAGAGUAGCUCCAUGCAGCCUCCCACUUUUAAUCUUUUUGAAGAAUGUGAACAGUACCAUUCACUGGUAAAAAAUGUAACCAAGAGAGUUCUGCAGUGUUGUUGAUUUCUGCUGGAUAUUCAUAGUAGGAAUUAUACUUGUAAAUGUUGUAUGCAUGUGAAAAGUCUUCAUUUGAAAGUUUGCUAAGCAACAAAUCCUUCAAAUGGAACAGGUUGCAACUCUGCUCUGCCUAUAAAGUACAGAUGCAUGGCCUGUCUCUGACUGGAUGCAUGCCAGAUUGUCCUUUGGGAUAUAGCCCAGUGAGCAGGAGAAAUGGGUUUGAACUUGGCAAAAUGGCAUUAGGCAUAAAGGAAGAAACUGGAGAGCUGCUUCAUCAGUGUCAAUCCAGACUGUGGUUGGUCUCAUAA
RNAcentral lists this long non-coding RNA (425 nucleotides) under Serinus canaria (Common canary). RNAcentral's name for it is "lncRNA (ENSSCAG00000000949.1)". The record is from RNAcentral. Lineage: Eukaryota; Metazoa; Chordata; Aves; Passeriformes; Fringillidae.